GUAAUCGUGUGGCGGUCAAAUCCUUUGGUAAAUCAGAGGUCCCAGCAAAGAUGGGGCACCCCGCCCGUCCUCUGCGGAGGCAAGGAGGUCCUCAGACAUCUUCACGCGCCUGCCACAUUAGUAUUGGAAAGGGGUCACUGCGCAGGCCGGCCGAGUCCGCAGGGGCCACUGUGCCCGAGCUUGGGCGCUCUGCAGCGCCUCCAGGAGCCGGAGACGUGUGGACUCGACGGGUUGGCUCUGCUGCUGGCCACUUGUGUUCCCAGGUGAUGGCGGGAUAGGAUAGGCGUCCACUGUCCACAGGAGGGGGGCCACCAGGCGCCUGUGAGCUAUGGGGAGGUGGUGGGGCCUUUGUGGGUGGGGCCUGCUGGAGAGAGUCGGUCACUCUUUAGAGGUGAGCCCCGAAGGGAGCCCUCACCCCCUUCCUGCGCCCCCUUUGCUUCCCGCCACCACUGGGAAAAGUCUCCUCCGCCACCCACUUCUGCCAUGAUGCGCAUGCUUCCCAGGUGACCGUGGAAACCUGAAACCACAAGUCAGUCAAAACAAACCUUUUCCCUCAUUAAGUUGAUUAUCUGGAAUAUUCUGUUGCAGUGGUGGAAACUGAGUAACACAAGACACUCUGGACACUGGUCAUCAAUAAUCACAGAACACGUGGAAAUCAUCUUUUUUCACUUCCUGGCUUAUAUUUUUACCUCAUCACAUUGAUGGUUUUCAAACACAAUUUCUCCAGUGUAACAUAGUCAAAUGCAUCAGUCUCUAAUGACUUGUGGUUUUAGUGAUUCCAGGUCUCAGUCUACUUUCAGAUGCUACAACAAAAUACCCAGUGCUGGGUAGGAACUUUAUAAAGAAAGAAAAGGGGUUUAGCUCACAGUUUUGGAGGCUGAAGUCCAAGAUCAAGCAGCUGCAUCUGUUCUGCCUCUGAUGCGGCCCCAGCUGCCUCACAGCACGGCCGGAAAGCAGGAAGAGAAACGGUGCAAGGUCAAUGAAAAAAAAGCUUGUAUUUACAGCAGAAAACCCAAGCUGGAAGCAGGAUGGAACAAAACCCCACUAAAACAGCCACGCAACCUGUGCAGAGCCCCAAGAGGCAAGUGGCGACGUCAGGCCGUCCUGAGAAGACGGCGGCUGUGCGAGAGGGCACUGACCCCGGGGCUGGCGGGUGAGUGCCCCUCGCUCUGCAGCAACCCCUCAGCGGGGCCUCCUGCCAGCCCUCCUGGCCCCAAGGCCACACGUGGACACUGCGUGUUUCUCUCGGGGUUCCGCGGUCUCGUUUUCACAGUUCACUGUUUAGAGGGCCUGGUCCUUAGGACAGCGGCGUGCUCUCCGUGUGGACCGGCUCCUGACCCUGCGCCUGGGCCAGCUGCCUGGGGCACGCCUGCGCCUUGCUCUUCCACACCCUCGGGCUCCUCGCAGACUUUUGGACCAGCUGCCAAGCCCCAGGGAAGACAGGGGCCGUGAAGACGUCUCACCGGGUCCCUGGAGCUGGCCACAGAACCCGACCUCAGGUUCCGAGGCCGAACCCCGCCCCUCCCAGCAAGGCCUCGGGUCUUCUCAGGACGCGGGGUCUGGCUCACUCCUGGGGUCUGCUCGGGUUUUGCGGCUCUCUUGGUGGUUUCCCCAUCACACUUGCACUUGGCGCACUGGUGAAGAUAGAUGGGCCUUCUGUUUGGUGGGCUGGUUCUCCUCCAUGAGUCUCACUGGGCCCAUGCCAGCCCUCUUACUGCCUCCACAGCAGAGCCUCAGACAGACCCUCUCCUUCCCGUCCUGAGGUCCGUCGCCUCUCUUCUUGCUUUAUUGCCCUUAGCAAAGACUGAGAGCACACGGCUGCAGCGACCUGUUCCCAACUGCCUUGGGAAGGGCAGAGGCCCCAGGGAGCCCGUGUCGCUGUGAAUCCUUGGAAGAGGCCCCUCCUCCUGUGAGGGACGCCUGCUCCCCCUGUGGGUCCCUUGGUCCUGUUUUGCCUCCACUAAGAUCAGCGCAGGGCAGAGGACCGCAAGCUUCCCCCUGGGAGCCUGAGGCAUUGUCCUGGGGAUUAGGUUAAACACACCUGUCAGCCAGGCCCAGUGACACUCACUGCCACCCCAGGAUCAUAAAUCUGAGGUCAGCCUAGACAACUUAGCAAGAUCCGUCUCAAAAAUAAAAAUUAAAUUACAUUUAACUUAAAAAUAAAUGCACAAGUAUAUUUAGUAGCUCCUGCCACACCCAAAAAAUGUGUGAGAUGAUAGAUGUGUCAGUCUACUUCACUAUGGUGACGUUUUAGUGUUUG
RNAcentral lists this long non-coding RNA (2260 nucleotides) under Marmota monax (woodchuck). The record is from RNAcentral. Lineage: Eukaryota; Metazoa; Chordata; Mammalia; Rodentia; Sciuridae.